UACAGAGGUCCCAAGCGUUGUUCGGAUUCACUGGGCGUAAAGGGUGCGUAGGUGGCCGGGUAAGUCUGACGUGAAAUCUCCAAGCUCAACUUGGAAACUGCGUCGGAUACUAUCCGGCUAGAGGAUCGGAGGGGAGACUGGAAUACUUGGUGUAGCAGUGAAAUGCGUAGAUAUCAGGAGGAACACCGGUGGCGAAGGCGGCCCUCUGGACGGUGACUGACGCUGAGACGCGAAAGCGUGGGGAGCAAACAGG
Molecule: ribosomal RNA, 253 nt
Filed under: uncultured bacterium
Lineage: Bacteria
Description: partial 16S ribosomal RNA
Rfam family: Bacterial small subunit ribosomal RNA
Source: RNAcentral